UUCCCUUCUUAUAGGCAUUAGGUUGAAGUGCUUUAUAAUUUUAUUUGGAUUCCGGGACAUGUGGGUGGUCGUGGAUAGGUAGCAUCUUUCUUUUCUAAAAGGAGGACGAGUGUGUGGUUGAGGUGAUAGCGUAUUGUCGGUGGCAUAGGGAAAGUAGGAUAGUUAUCUACUUUAGGGGAUAAAAGUAAAGACAUGUGUCUGCUACAGUGGAAAGGUAAGAUAAGUGGUUGCUACAGUAAAGGUCAGGUGUAGAAAAGUAGCUAAAAGUAGAACAGGUGUCUGAUAGGUGUAGAAAAGUAGCUAAAAGUGGGACAGAUGUCUGAUAGGUUUUGUCAGCCAUAAUUUAGGGUUGACAACUGGUGUUGGCCAAGAUUCUUUGGGCCAGAAUUUCGGGUUUCGGGUCUUAGUAUAGGCUUUGUUUCUUAGAAAACCCAUGUGCUGGCAUGUCUUCAUCUUCAUCUUCUUCUCUGUUUACCAUUGCCAUUUCUUCAUUUUGAUUGGCUUCAACAGCUUCUUCUUCAAAUAACUUAUAUAAUUCUUUUUCCAGUUCCUUUCUGGUAGCGGUUAAGUUUUUCUUUUUCAUAUGUUUAAUGUAUUCUCUUAAUUGGGAAGGAUCAUCCAUUGAGGCUGGUAUCCUUUCUUCCGAAAUUUUAUAUAGCUUUAUUUUUUUCGGCUUCAGAUUAUCAUAAACAUAUAUAUCCCACCAUUUGACAGCAAUCUGUUUUCCUAUGGUAGGGAUAUCUUCAUAAUUUUGAAAUACAGGUUCAGAUAUUGCAAAUCUCCAUUUAACUAUCCAAGGAAUUUGAUAACAAGCUAUGAAGUAUAGAUGAUAAUCGAUUUCUGGCUUAUUUUCAUUACAUAUAAUAAAUUUCUCUUGGGAUUUACUCAGUGGUUUUGGCAGGAUUUUGGGGAUAAAUCCCCAUGUAGCAAACCAAUUAAUAAACCAAUUAGGGAAUGGGUCACGUAUUGGUAAUUUAGACUGGAGAAACCAAGUGUGUGAAUAAUACUCAUUUUAGACUAAUAAGACACGAUGCCAAGCAUCAAUAUAAUCAGAAUACGUAAAGCUUUUAUUUGGGAUGCUUGGGGCCUUCAAUUUCUUAGUCCUCAAGGGUUCUGAUCCCCAAUCACUAUAUUUCAGGAUUUUCCUGUUCUGUAAUUUUGAAUAAGCAAUUCCAGCUGAAUUUUUUAUAUUAUAAUGUAUUAAAGAUAUUGAUCUGUUUCCAACAAGAUGCUUUCACAGCAUUCUCUUGUUUUUAAUCCACAUGAUGGAUUAAGAUUAUUGUACAGGUAUAUUUUUGCAAUUUUGAGUGGGUCUUCCAUUGAUUCAUUAUUCUUUAUUAUAUGGUCCACAACAAAAUUGGUAUCUUCAUACAGGGCCUUGUAAGCAGAGGGUUUUCGUGGUACUGAUGGUGAUGACAUAAAAACAGGAGUAUUAAAAGUAGGAGUAUUAUAUGGAGAGGUUUGGGUUGGAUAUUCGAUAUAUGGAAGGUGCUCUAGAGAUGAUGGAAGGUUUAUAAUAGGAAUGGGGACUUCGGGAACUAUAUCCAUAGGCCUUUUGCCUUUGU
Molecule: long non-coding RNA, 1565 nt
Filed under: Amborella trichopoda
Lineage: Eukaryota; Viridiplantae; Streptophyta; Magnoliopsida; Amborellales; Amborellaceae
Description: long non-coding RNA (ATRI_LNC003038)
Source: RNAcentral